This 404-nucleotide ribosomal RNA is filed under the name uncultured bacterium. Its description in RNAcentral is "bacterial SSU rRNA". It matches the Rfam family "Bacterial small subunit ribosomal RNA", at positions 355 to 774 of the family's 1533-position model. The record is from RNAcentral.
UGGGGAAUAUUGCACAAUGGAGGAAACUCUGAUGCAGCGACGCCGCGUGAGUGAAGAAGGUCUUCGGAUCGUAAAACUCUGUCCUUGGUGACGAAAAAAAUGACGGUAGCCAAGGAGGAAGCCCCGGCUAACUACGUGCCAGCAGCCGCGGUAAUACGUAGGGGGCGAGCGUUGUCCGGAUUUACUGGGCGUAAAGGGUGAGUAGGCGGUAAUAUGUGUCAGAUGUAAAAGGCUAUGGCUUAACCAUAGUUAGCAUUUGAAACUGUAUUACUUGAGUGCAGGAGAGGUAAGUGGAAUUCCAAGUGUAGCGGUGAAAUGCGUAGAUAUUAGGAGGAACACCAGUGGCGAAGGCGACUUACUGGACUGUAACUGACGCUGAGUCACGAAAGCGUGGGUAGCAAACA